This 404-nucleotide ribosomal RNA is filed under the name uncultured bacterium. Its description in RNAcentral is "partial 16S ribosomal RNA". It matches the Rfam family "Bacterial small subunit ribosomal RNA", at positions 28 to 526 of the family's 1533-position model. The record is from RNAcentral.
GACGAACGCUGGCGGCGUGCUUAACACAUGCAAGUCGAGCGGAGCGGCGAACGGGUGAGUAACGCGUGAGUAACUGCCCCCCUCUCUGGGAUAACAGUUGGAAACGGCUGCUAAUACCGGAUAGUGGGGGCUGACUCGCGUCCUAUCAGCUUGUUGGUGGGGUAGUGGCCUACCAAGGCGACGACGGGUAGCCGGCCUGAGAGGGCGACCGGCCAAAUUGGGCUGAGAUACGGCCCGAGUGCCGACGGGAGGCAGCAGUGUGGAAUAUUGCAAAAUGGGGGAAACCCUGAAGCAGCAACGCGCGGGCGGGAUGACGGCCUUCGGGUUGUAAACCGCUUUCAGCCAGGACGCGGUAGUGGCAGAAGAAGCACCGGCUAACGACGUGCCAGCAGCCGCGGUAAUUC